GGGAAGCGCGCGCGCCCAAGUACCGCGCCUCACGCAGCCCCCGCCGCCAUCUUGGAAUCUCCUGCAGCCUCGAAACCCCGCCCACGCGGCCGCCAUUGGACCGUCUCAACUCGCCUCGGCUUCCUCAUUGCACGGAGCUGCUGUCAAUCGAACGCGAGGCGACGGAGAAGGGGGGGAGGGGAGCACCAGGCGGUUCGACGCUCCGGAAGCGGAAAGCCCGCCUUUUCCUGAAUCGGCCCUCGGAAAAGUUCACCCUCUUUGGUUGAGAGGAACGCUAACGACGCCAUCCCAUAGGCCUGUUGCCUGGCUUUCUGUGAAGAAAACAACUGCCAAGUUCGUGUUAGCAUAUACAUUCAAGACUGAUGGAACUGAAAUGCCACCAGCAUCCCCAAUCUGAAUUGCUAAAAUGUGAAGAAGAAAACAGCAGGUAUCCGAGAGCUGUUUGUCAGAGUAUAUGUGGUAACCAGUGUCUGAGCUAAAGUACAGGACUAGGAAAGCAAGCCCUGCUAAGUCCUGAUUAUGGUGUAAAGAGAGGAAGUGGGGCAAUAUUUUAAGCAGAUGGGAGGAGGUAGUAAGGGUGGUAGAUAGAGAGUGGGAAGAUAGCAGGAAAGGAAAGGAAACUAUUUUUGGAAGCAGGAAAAAGACUUACGUGUAAGGCUCCAGAUCUGGUUUUGCAUCUUCUCACCUCAUCAGCAGAAUGACUGUCAUGACAAGAUUUUGAAAUAUAGUUUGUAAGGGUUAGUUCACACAUGCAUGUUGAUUAUUUGGUCUCUCAUCACCUGCUCAGGAUAACACCCAACUUGCAGCAGAAAGAGACUUGUGUUAGAAAAGGUUUUAGAUGAAGCAUGCUAAAAGUUCUGUCUUUGUUGUUUGAGCUGCCUUGGCUCUUUCGACUUCCAGAUUAUCACUUAAUGUUCCAGACAACAAGUGAAGAAAAGUCCAGAAUGAUCUCUUUAGUGCAGAUAUCUCUACACCACAUGUUUGUGCAUAUAUGUCCAUGAAUGCUUUCUGCCAGAAAUGAUCUUUAGUUUGGGACUUUUGGCAACUAACAGUUUGUCUUAGCCUAAUUAGCCUUCUAUUUCUACAAAGUUCCUUAGCAUCAGUAGUAUUAAGUAGUUUCCUGGUUUAUUCAAAUAUAAUUUUUCCCAGUACCACACUUCACUCACAGUUGCCUCCUUUUUUAUAUUUUCUUUCUUUUCAACCUCACAUGUACAUCAAUUUAUCACAAUCCAGCAAAACUUUUUAUGUUCCUCAGCCAUAGAGGCAAAAGGGGGAAAAAUCAAGGACUCUGUGCUGGAGUUCAUGAGGACAUUGGCCAUAACCAAAACAGGACAUGUAGAGAAUCAAAGGUGACUGGAUCUCAAAAGUAGAAACCCGAGCAGAACUAAACAUUGUAGGAGAAUUUGACCUAGCAUGAAGGAAAGAAGCAGGAAAGUAACUGAUCAAACUUUGUGAAGCCAACAGUUUGUUCUUCAGGCAAGCAAAGAGAGAAAUACAUAUGUGAUGAUAAGUGAAAUUAUCUAUGUGUGCAUGUGGCAGGGGUGUCCACUCACACAGUCAGCCUCCAGCCUCCACAAACAGGCAAUAGUUCCCAGUGCUGAGGAACCACCAAGUCACUCCCCGCCAGGACAUUGCAGGUUACAGUGAGAACAACCCAGUGUUCCUUUCUCUCUCCAUUUGCAUGAUCCUGCCCACUGCCUCUGCCUUAACCCUUCCCUACUCUUUCCUAUGGCACAGCAAACAGAGGAAUUGAUCACCAACUGAACAUACUAGAGAGAGAGGUUUGGGGAGAAUUCAUUAUUAUUUAUAGGAGUUGUAGGGACUUGACCAUUUUCUUCUAUAUAUAUAUUAUACUAACUUGGGGACCCAGUGAUGAUUUUGGGAGUUGUAGCUCACCUGAAUCCAGCGAUACUGUGACCUCCACCGACAAUGGACUAGAACCAAACUUGGCACCGAGAAGCCCUAUGACCAACUGAACAUACUGGAGGGGUUUGUGGGAAUGGACCUUUAUUUUGGGAGUUCUAGUUCGCCCUUAUCCAGAAAGCACUGACCCAGGCAAUGUUGGAUCUGGUCCAGACUUGAAGCAGAGACCCAGCAUGGCCAGCUGCAUACAGGCAGGGUUUGGAGGUGAUUCCCCCUCGCUCUAGGAGCCCUGAACCUAGCUGACAUCAGAUCUGGAUCAAACUUGACACACAGACCCAACAUGGCCAACUUUCAAGACUGGUGGGGUUUGGGGUGAUUGGCCCAUGAUUUUGGGAAUUGUAGUUCACCCACAUCCUUAUGUAUUUUCUAAUGGGAAUAUUGAUAAUAAAAAACAACAGGAAAGACUGGCUUUUUCUAACAAAUUCCCAAACUGAUAAGACCUAACAUCCCAAAAUAAACAAAUAACCCAGGCACCGCCUGGUCCCCAAGCUAGUAUAGAACUAAAAUAGACACAUAAUUGGAAGCAGAACUUGGAGAAGUUCCACUAUUUCUUCAAAAACAAGAGCAAGAAUCAAUUGUGGCACAGUCCACAAACUGCUAAUAUAAAAAUGUAAAGUAAAACUGAAGAAGAACACAAGAUCAAUCAUUGUGCUGAAAUACAACCUGAUGAACACCCCUGUAGAAUUUAGGAAUAAUGUAAAAAACAGAUUUGCAUUAUUAUGCCUAAUUGACCAGAACUAGGCACAGAAGUCAGAGUCAUUAUCAUGGAAGAAUGCCAAGAGAUACUUUCCAAAGCCAAAAGGAAAGAGAAGCCUCGAUGGAUGACAGUUGAAAGCGUUAAGGAUAGACAAGAAUGGAAAGCAAAAGGUGAGAAGAUUAAGUUCAGUGACUUGUGUACAGGGAGAAAGAGAAUUAUUAUAAUAAGCCAAUGCAGAAAUUAGAAGACCACAACAGAAAAUAGAGAGCAAGAGACAUCUUCCACAAGAUCCAAGAAAUCAAAUAGAAAAUAAAUAUCGGGGAUUUUAUAAAACCAGAAGUGGAACACAUUGCAUGACUAAGUAGAAAAAAAUUGAAAUUACACUGAAGAACUAUAUAAAAGAGAUGAAAGGAAAACAGAUUCAUUCAGUGAAGAACGUUAGAAGAUGAACCUAUAAUUUUAGUAAGUUAAAUUGAAGCUUCACUCAAAGCACUUGGGGGGCCGGGGCGGGGGGGAGUAAAUCGCCAGAAAGUGAUGAUAUACUAGUAGAGCUGCUUCAAGUUACAGAGAUAGAAUAUACUCUAAUUCUAACUACAAUCUGUCAACAAGUAUGGAAAACAAAACAAUGGCCCACAGAUUAGAAAUGCUCAAUAUAUAUUUCAGUCCCCAAGAAAGGGGACACCAGGGACUGCCUCGACCCCUGGACCAUUGCAAGCAAAAUGAUGCUCAAAACUUUACAACAAUGACAUUAACCAUAUAUAAACUAAGAAAUUCCAGGUGCCCUAGCUGGGUUUAGAAAAGGACAAGUCGCUAGGGAAUAUAUUGCAAACAAAUGUUGAAUCAUUGAGCAACCAAGGAAGAUAAAAAGAAAAACAGCCUGUGCCGUAUAGAUUAUAGCAAUGCCUCUCAUGGUAUAAGUCAUGAAAAACUUGGAAUACUUUUUAAAAAAUGGGAGUGCCAUAACAAUUGAUAGUCCUGAUGCAUAAUCUGUACUCAGGACAAGGGGUUAGAAGAUCAUAUGGAGAAAGAGAAUUAUUUGCAAAGGGUCAGGCAACCCUGCAUUGUAUCACCCUGUCUGUUUAACUUGUACACUGAACAUUUCAUAUUUAAAUCAGGAUUAGAUUUGGAGGAAGGAACAUUAACAAUGUAUGAUUUCAGAUCACACCAGAAUACUAGCAAAAAAUAAUAGCAGACCUGAAAUUAUUGCUAAAGGAAGUUGAGAAAGAAAGUGCCAAAGAAAGUUUACUGUUGGACAUUUAAAAAACAAAAAUAAUGACCACAGGUGAUUUGCAUAAUUUUAAAGUAGACACUGAGGUAGUUACAGUUUUCCUAUAAAAUUGGCUCAGUCAAUCAGAAUGGGGUUUGCAAUCAAGAAAUUGGAAGACGACCUUGGAAGAGCAGCUGAAAAGGAACUAGAUAAAAUCCUGAAGUGUAAAGAUAGAUGAUUUAAUACCAAAGUUAGGAUUAUCCAUGUCAUCAUAAUUCCAAUUUCUAUGUGCAGUAUGUCUGUGAAAUCUGGACAGUGAGGAAAGCUGAGAGAAAGAGAAUCAAUUGAGAUGUAGUGCUGGAGAACCAUUCUACAGAUACUGUGGACUGCUAAUAAGAGACAUAAAUGAAUCCUAGAACAAAUCUAGACUGAACCCUUCCUAGAAGCUAAUAGAAGUAAAUUGAGACAGUCACACUUUGGCCAUAUCAUAAAAAGACACUAGUCUAGAAAAGACAAUAAUAUUUGGUAAAGUAAAAGCAG
Molecule: long non-coding RNA, 4367 nt
Organism: Anolis carolinensis (green anole)
Lineage: Eukaryota; Metazoa; Chordata; Lepidosauria; Squamata; Anolidae
Source: Ensembl